RNAcentral lists this ribosomal RNA (408 nucleotides) under uncultured bacterium. RNAcentral's name for it is "partial 16S ribosomal RNA". It matches the Rfam family "Bacterial small subunit ribosomal RNA", at positions 29 to 526 of the family's 1533-position model. The record is from RNAcentral.
AGUGAACGCUGGCGGCGUGCCUAAUACAUGCAAGUCGAACGGAGUGGCGCACGGGCGAGUAAUGUACAGCUAAUCCACCCUACACUAGAGGACAACAGUUGGAAACGACUGCUAAUACUUUACAGUGUAGGAUGAGGCUAUAUUGUAUCAGCGAGUUGGUGAGGUAAUGGUUCACCAAGGCUAUGACGCAUAACAGGUCCGAAAGGGUGAUCAGGAUCCCUGUAACUGAGACACGGUCCAGACUACUGCGGGAUGCAGCAGUAGGGAAUAUUGCUCGAUGGGGGUAACCCUGAAGCAGCAUCGCCGCGUGGAGGAUGAAACUUUUCGGAGCGUAAGCUCCUUGUUUUAUGAGUGCGGUACGUAACGAAUAAGCGCCGGCUAACUCCGUGCCAGCAGCCGCGGUAAUUC